This 1568-nucleotide ribosomal RNA is filed under the name Candidatus Omnitrophota bacterium. RNAcentral's name for it is "partial 23S ribosomal RNA". It matches the Rfam family "Bacterial large subunit ribosomal RNA", at positions 1 to 1222 of the family's 2925-position model. Lineage: Bacteria; Pseudomonadati; Candidatus Omnitrophota. The record is from RNAcentral.
AAAACUCAUACUAAGAGUAUAUGGUGGAUGCCUUGACAUAAAAAGUCGAUGAAGGACGCGGUGUAACUGCGAAAAGCCUCGGUGAGCCGUUAACAGGCCGUGACCCGGGGGUAUCCGAAUGGGGAAACCCUUCUGAGCAAACCUCAGAAAUUAUUAUCUGAAUUAAGUAAGGUAAUAAAGAGAACCUAGGGAAGUGAAACAUCUCAGUACCUAGAGGAAAAGAAAAAAAUGUUAAUAUUGAUAACGGUGGCAGACAUUAUUUUAAUGCCUGCAUCGGUAUCGGUAUUAUUAAUUCCCUGAGUAGUGGCGAGCGAAACGGGAAAAGCCUAAACCUUUUUUAUUUCUUUACUGAAAUAAAGCGGGUGUUGCAAGGUGGGUGCGUUAUCGGAGUGAUCCGAUACAGAGCUGAUUAAAUGUAAUUUGAUUAGUCAAAUGUUCCUGGAAAGGACGACCAAAGAAGGUGAUAGUCCCGUAGACGAAAAUCAUUACAUGCUCUGAGUAUCUAUUCUUAAGUACCAUAGGGCCAGAGAAACCCUAUGGGAAUCCGGCAGUACUACUAACUCCCGAGAAAUCGGGACUGCCAAGGCUAAAUACUUUUUAUGAUCGAUAGUGAACAAGUACCGUGAGGGAAAGGUGAAAAGUAGCCCGUUUAGGGCAGUGAAAUAGAAACUGAAAUCAUAUACUUACAACGAGUGGGAGUCCCGAGUUCUCGGGAUGACCGCGUGCUUUUUGCAGAACGAACCAACGAGUUUGCUAGGUAUUGCAAGUCUAAGCUCUUCGGAGCGGAGGCGUAGUGAAAGCGAGGGUUAAAUGCCCGUUUAGCAAUACUUACAAGACCCGAAACCAGGUGAGCUAGCCAUGAGCAGGAUGAACCUCAACGAAAGUUGAGAGGAGGUCCGAACCCAUUAGCCGUGCAAUACUAUGGGAUGACUUGUGGUUAGGGAUGAAAUUUCAAUCGAACUUGGUAAUAGCUGGUUCUCUCCGAAAUAGCUAUAGGGCUAGCGUCUUCCGUUUCGCUUUGGGGGUAGAGCACUGAAUGGACACGGCUGGACUUUUGUCUACCUUGUCCAAACAAACUCCGAAUACCAAAGUGCCAGAGAAGGGCAGUCAGAACGUGAGGGCUAAGCUUCACGCUCAAAAGGGGAACAGCCCAGAUCGUCGUCUAAGGUCCCUAAAUCUAUGCUAAGUGAUUUUAAGGAAGUGAGGUUUCUUAAACAGCUAGGAAGUUGGCUUAGAAGCAGCCAUCUUUUAAAGAGUGCGUAACAGCUCACUAGUCUACUGAAAUCUUGCGCCGAAAAUGUCCGGGGCUAAGCAUAGUACCGAAGACACGGAUGCCAAUGCGAAGCAUUGGAAAUUCGAAUAUCGAAUAUCGAAUAUCGAAACAAAUUUUAAUUACCAAAAUCUUAAAUUCCGAACUGUUUAGAAUUUGAAAAAUUAGGAUUUAGGAUUUGUUUAGUCCCGAGUACUCGGGAUAGAAUUUCGGAUUUUCUUUACUUAACCUCUUCUAUUCCGCCUUUCAUAUAAAACGCAUUCUCUUCUUUGCUGUCGUGUUUUCCUUCCAAAAUUUC